This is a long non-coding RNA of Camelus dromedarius (Arabian camel), 1585 nucleotides long. The record is from Ensembl. NCBI's taxonomy places the organism in Eukaryota, Metazoa, Chordata, Mammalia, Artiodactyla, Camelidae.
AUUAAUGGUAACAUACAGUAGAUUGUUAAUAUUUUUAAGUGAAUUCAUACACUUUUUCUAACUUCUUAUUUAACUUCUAACACAGGAAAUAGUGAUAGAUUAAACUCACAUAAAUAGCAGCCUUUUGGAGUUCUCAGUAAUUGUUAAGAGUGUAUAGGGUUCUGUAGAACAAGAAGUUUGAGAGCCCCUGGAGAACGGGUGCUCAGAUGCUAGUCGGGUGCUUAGUGGUGUUAGACGGAUGCCAAGAUGUCUUCCACAACUGCUCCCGGACUUGAAGUAAUUGGCCACAUGGAGAUGGGUGGGCAGUGCCUCCACUUUACAAACCAGAAGCUGCUGAAUGUGUCUGGAGUCUAGGCCAUGGGCUGUGCAGGGAUUCCCGUUGUAUCUGUUCUAUCUAAGCCGGGAUUCCUGUGCAGAGGCCUGGCCCUGAAGACCCGCUCUCCUUUGCUCCCAGCCAGGUACCUUCUGUGUGACUUCAACCCUCCAGAGGGUUCAACUCCGUAGGAACGUCUGCAUCCACAUUGCCUUCCUCCUGAAGACCCUGCUGAAGAUGGAGGAGCCGGUACUGGUGCUAUUCCCUUGGGGCCACCUCUACCACUGGCAGAGCCCCGAUCCCUGGUCCGACUCCUUUGACCUCCCAAGUCUCAACAGAAACAUCCCUGACAUUGAGUACGAGCAGUUCAUUGCAGGGUUCACUUGGUGAUAAUAAUCAUAACCAAAGCAACAGCAAACCCUUACAGAACUCUGUCCUGCUGUUCCAGGAACGCUGUGUUCAUGACAACCCAAUGAGUUGGCACCACUAUGAGUUCCACUUUAAAGUGCCUGCCACCCUGGCCUCCCUGCUCAUCUGCCUCAGUCAGGAGCACCUGGACCACCAGCUCUGUAUUGCCUCGCCUCCUACCAUCAAGACGUCAAAGUUCAUUCUCCUUCCACCACCCAGUAUGGUCAUUGUAGGGUUCUUCUGUCAGCCUGAGCCAGCCCCACCCAUUCACCCUACCCCCGGGCUAUACCGGGCGUGUCUCCCCCAAGUCCAGCCUCUCUCCUUUAAGUGCCCACCACUUAGCCGUCCAGUCUUCUCCACCAGCCUCCCUGGCCCUCCUUCACCCUCACUGGGGAUCAUGCGACUGCUCUGCUUCCUGCCUGUCCACGUUCCUCUUACUUCCACUUCCCCACCUUCCAGCUCUGCAUCCACAGUCAGCACUCUCUUUAUGACAGACAAAACCCCCUUGAGCCUUGACCUUUUCAGUUCCUCACCAGGCCGACUUCCAUCUCGGUUCACCCAGCUCUACUUGUUCUGAGCCUGCAGGCAGCAGGCUCUCCCAGCACAGUCCAAGACUACAAAUCAAUGCCCACCAUGUUGCCGCUGCCAGGCAAUCCUCCAGGAUUCUCUAGUGAGCACAUUUCCCCACUUAUCACUCAGUGGGUGUAACAUUCUCUGCUCUCUGCACACCUCUAACCUUCCCUCUGUCUCUUCCCUGUCCCAGCAGAUGGCCUUGCCUCCUGCUCAGAGAGAAUGACAUGUCACUGGAAAGGAACUCGCUCACCUGCAGCAAACCCUGCACCUCACUUUUAUCUGUCCUCUCCC